AUUGAACGCUGGCGGCAGGCCUAACACAUGCAAGUCGAGCGGAUGACGGGAGCUUGCUCCUUGAUUCAGCGGCGGACGGGUGAGUAAUGCCUAGGAAUCUGCCUGGUAGUGGGGGACAACGUUUCGAAAGGAACGCUAAUACCGCAUACGUCCUACGGGAGAAAGCAGGGGACCUUCGGGCCUUGCGCUAUCAGAUGAGCCUAGGUCGGAUUAGCUUGUUGGUGAGGUAAUGGCUCACCAAGGCGACGAUCCGUAACUGGUCUGAGAGGAUGAUCAGUCACACUGGAACUGAGACACGGUCCAGACUCCUACGGGAGGCAGCAGUGGGGAAUAUUGGACAAUGGGCGAAAGCCUGAUCCAGCCAUGCCGCGUGUGUGAAGAAGGUCUUCGGAUUGUAAAGCACUUUAAGUUGGGAGGAAGGGUUGUAGAUUGAUACUCUGCAAUUUUGACGUUACCGACAGAAUAAGCACCGGCUAACUCUGUG
This 484-nucleotide ribosomal RNA is filed under the name uncultured bacterium. Its description in RNAcentral is "partial 16S ribosomal RNA". It matches the Rfam family "Bacterial small subunit ribosomal RNA", at positions 30 to 507 of the family's 1533-position model. The record is from RNAcentral.